GCUUGUCUCAAGAUUAAGCCAUGCAUGUCUAAGUAUAAACAACUUUGUACUGUGAAACUGCGAAUGGCUCAUUAUAUCAGUUUUAGUCUACUCGAUAGUACCUUACUACUUGGAUACCCGUAGUAAUUCUAGAGCUAAUACAUGCAUAAAUACCCAACUGCUUGUCGGGCGGGUAGCAUUUAUUAGAUUGAAACCAAUGCAGUCUUCGGGCUGGUAUUGUGUUGAGUCAUAAUAACUGUGCGGACCGCAUUCGUGCGGUAAAUCGAUUGAGAUUCUGCCCUAUCAGCUUUGGAUGGUAGGAUAUGGGCCUACCAUGGCAUUAACGGGUAACGGGGAAUUAGGGUUUGAUUCCGGAGAGGGAGCCUUAGAAACGGCUACCACAUCCAAGGAAGGCAGCAGG
RNAcentral lists this ribosomal RNA (400 nucleotides) under Lagenidium giganteum. Its description in RNAcentral is "partial small subunit ribosomal RNA". It matches the Rfam family "Eukaryotic small subunit ribosomal RNA", at positions 30 to 432 of the family's 1831-position model. Lineage: Eukaryota; Oomycota; Peronosporomycetes; Pythiales; Pythiaceae. The record is from RNAcentral.